CCCUACAUUAUUGGGUGGAUCAAGAAAGGAGUGAAUAUGAGGAUCACCAAACAAUGCAACGUGCCACUUUCUUUGGGUAAGCAUUAUCGCUCAAAUGUGUUGUGUGAUGUGGUUGACAUGGAUGCCAGCCAUGUUCUUCUUGGGAGGCCUUGGCAAUUUGAUGUGGAUACUACACACAAGGGCAAGGAAAAUUCUUACUCUUUCAUUUGGAACAAGAGAAAGAUCAUUGUCCUACCAAACAAAACCGAAGGUAAUACCUCUAAGGAGGAGGGGAAAACUAUGUUAACUAUCUCACAUACCUCUCAUGAGUUUAUGGAAGACUUGAAGGAGGCAGAUUUGUGUGCUGCACUUGUUGUAAAGGGAGAAGAGCACCUGACUGUUGAAAUUCCAGCAAAGGUAUGUGGUUUAUUGGCAGAAUUUCAGAACAUACUUGGGGAGCCACAUGGCUUUCCACCGAUUAGAGGAAUUCAACAUAGAAUUGACAUAAUUCCGGGAGCAAGCCUUCCUAGUCUUCCACACUAUCGAAUGAGCCCAAAGGAGUAUGAUAUAUUGAAGGAGAAAGUGGGGGAAUUGUUGCAAAAGGGGCACAUUCGAGAAAGUAUUAGCCCAUGUGUUGUACCAGCCCUGCUCGCGCCUAAGAAAGAUGGAUCUUGGUGCAUGUGUACGGACAGUAGAGCCGUUAACAAGAUCACUGUAAGGUAUAGAUUCCCUAUUCCCCGUCUGGAUGAUAUGUUGGAUCAGCUUAGUGGAGCAAGAGUGUUCACAAAGCUAGAUUUAAGAAGUGGAUAUCAUCAAAUCCGUAUAAGACCCGGGGAUGAAUGGAAGACCACCUUCAAGACAAAGGAAGGGUUGUUUGAAUGGCUAGUCAUGCCAUUUGGAUUCUCAAAUGCACCAAGUACCUUUAUGCACUUAAUGAAUCAAGUCCUUAGACCCUUCUUAUCCCACUUUGUUGUGGUCUAUUUCGAUGACAUCUUGAUCUAUAGCAAGGAUGAGGAUGAACACUUUGAUCACAUUCGGAAGGUGCUAGAAGUAAUAAGGGAAAAUGAGCUCUACGUCAACUUGAAGAAAUGUGUUUUCCUGCAAACACAACUUCUUUUCCUAGGAUUCGUCAUAACAUGUGACAGCAUUCGUGUUGAUGAUUCUAAGGUUGAAGCAAUCCAAGAAUGG
Molecule: ribosomal RNA, 1167 nt
Filed under: Triticum aestivum (bread wheat)
Lineage: Eukaryota; Viridiplantae; Streptophyta; Magnoliopsida; Poales; Poaceae
Description: partial small subunit ribosomal RNA
Source: RNAcentral